This 317-nucleotide ribosomal RNA is filed under the name Ditylum brightwellii. RNAcentral describes it as "partial Eukaryotic large subunit ribosomal RNA". It matches the Rfam family "Eukaryotic large subunit ribosomal RNA", at positions 27 to 341 of the family's 3401-position model. The record is from RNAcentral. Lineage: Eukaryota; Bacillariophyta; Thalassiosirophyceae; Lithodesmiales; Lithodesmiaceae.
GCUGAACUUAAGCAUAUCAGUAAGCGGAGGAAAAGAAACUAACUAGGAUUGCCCCAGUAGCGGCGAGUGAACAGGCAAAAGCUCAAAGUGAAAAUCCGUUGCAUAAAGUAAUGGAAUUGUAAUCUAGAGAGGUGUUCGGAGGUGAUCGGGCGUGGAAUAAGUUCCUUGGAACAGGACGUCAUAGAGGGUGAUAACCCCGUAGUCGUCUACGUCACGGACCCAACGAGCAUUUUCGAAGAGUCGGGUUGUUUGGGAUUGCAGCCCUAAAUGGGAGAUAAACUUCUUCUAAAGCUAAAUAUUUAUGGGAAACCGAUAGC